Molecule: long non-coding RNA, 724 nt
Organism: Vigna angularis (adzuki bean)
Lineage: Eukaryota; Viridiplantae; Streptophyta; Magnoliopsida; Fabales; Fabaceae
Exons: 2
Source: RefSeq, a predicted model, not a curated record
UCCGUGCUCCACACCAACUGCACGACGCCCUGCAAAACCGCCCCCGCUGCACCGUUGGUCUGGCGCCUUCCUCCACGGUUUCCUCCACGUCGUGGGUCUUCAUUUCCUUUCCUGGAUUGGAUCAGUUGCCAACUUUGCUAUCAGAGACCCAUCCAAACCAGGCAACUCUUCUUGUACGGUCCCACCAACACACAAAUCUUCUCUUUCACUUUAUUUCCAAGGCAAUUAGGAUUUGCCAGUUCCGGACAGACUUACUUCACUGGCGCACAUGAUCACUUCGACCUAUGGCUUUUUGAUAAUUUCGAUCAGACAAAAGCUGAGAGUGGUGCUCUAGCUGGCAAAUAAAGAGAAGACUUGUUUUGGUUGCCUUGGAAGUUCAUGAGAUAGCAGCCUUUGUGCUCACUUCUGCUAGGGCAAUUACCAGGAAAUGCUCUAAUUAUUACUUAUCCGAUGAAUCUGUAGCCCUGUUUGCAGAACAUGUUCCAAGCAGACCUAACUACAUUGUUGGACAAAUUGUGCAUAUCGAACACCAGAUUGUGAAGGCGGCACCCCUCGACUUGAACAUGACAGGACUGAAGAAGAAGAAAAAAAAAAAGGACAUUACUGUCUCGGUUCAGGCUAAAAAUAAAAAAUGUUACUGCUUCGGUUAAUUUUGAACUGAGGCAAAAUCCUACCAUUUUAUGUCUCGGGAACCGAAAUAUAAAGUCUACCACUUUUUACCUCG